RNAcentral lists this ribosomal RNA (521 nucleotides) under uncultured bacterium. RNAcentral describes it as "bacterial SSU rRNA". It matches the Rfam family "Archaeal small subunit ribosomal RNA", at positions 345 to 866 of the family's 1478-position model. The record is from RNAcentral.
AACCUCCGCAAUGUGAGAAAUCGCGACGGGGGGAUCCCAAGUGCCAUUCUUAACGGGAUGGCUUUUCAUUAGUGUAAAGAGCUUUUGGAAUAAGAGCUGGGCAAGACCGGUGCCAGCCGCCGCGGUAACACCGGCAGCUCUAGUGGUAGCAAUUUUUAUUGGGCCUAAAGCGUCCGUAGCCGGUUUAAUAAGUCUCUGGUGAAAUCCUGUAGCUUAACUGUGGGAAUUGCUGGAGAUACUAUUAGACUUGAGACCGGGAGAGGUUAGAGGUACUCCCAGGGUAGAGGUGAAAUUCUGUAAUCCUGGGAGGACCGCCUGUUGCGAAGGCGUCUAACUGGAACGGUUCUGACGGUGAGGGACGAAAGUUAGGGGCGCGAACCGGAUUAGAUACCCGGGUAGUCCUAACUGUAAACGAUGCGGACUUGGUGUUGGGGUGGCUUUGAGCUGCUCCAGUGCCGAAGGGAAGCUGUUAAGUCCGCCGCCUGGGAAGUACGGUCGCAAGACUGAAACUUAAAGGAAUU